GCGGCGCUCGGGCCUCGCCCCUCGGCCUCUCCCCUCAGCCGCCUCCCCAGCCGCCCCGGCACAGCAGCGAGCGGCCUUGGGCUCGGCUGCCUUCAGUACCGCUCCCCCGUGUGAGGUGUUGCCGUGGGCACGGGGCUGCGCCGCUGGCUCCUGGGCAGCCCCGGCCCUGCAGGAAGCACCGCGCAUCCGAGAGAACUAAGGGAAGUGAACAAAAACUUGGAAGAGUUACAUUUAAAGCCCUUGUUCCAGUCCCUGUCUGCCUGUGUGUGGCCCUGGUCUGCCUGAGGAAGUGCCAUGGGGCUGAGAAAAGUACAAUUUAAGAGCAUGGAGCAUUCCGGGGUGUGUGUAUUCUUUGUAUAAAAGAAAGACUUAAAUGGCACAAUUUGGAUGAUCUCUGGACUUAAACCCAUUACCAGGAAAAAAUAAUGAUGCAAUUUUGAGAGCCAAAUGAAGAGACAACACAUAAUACCAUAUACAAGGAAAAUCAGAGGAGAUCUUUAACAGGGAAAGAGGAGGUACAUGAUGGAGCUAUUUACCAGCAGAUGGCGUGCCUGCCUCCCUGAGACCAGAGAUCCCAGCAGAAUGUAAAUGAUACGAGAAACUUGUAUAACAUAGAAACAAUUGUAUAAUAUAAGAAACAAUUAUGCAAGAAAUGUGCUCCUCUUUCCUUAGAGGAAAGUAGUGAUGCUACCACAAUAUUUUUGAAGGAGAAAUGUCAACAUUUUUGACUGCAUGACUAUGUGUUUGAAUUGUAUUAAAGGGCAGAUCUCUUCCUUUCCUUCACUAACCUCCACACACAUAAGCAAUUGAUUAUUAAUAAGAGAUUUUAUUUAAGUUCCUUUUUUUAAAAUAAUCCAUACUGGGAAAAAUAAAAGGCCAGCUGACAAAAAUUGCUUUGUCUGCCCCCUAGAAAUGGAAAAAGAGAAAUUAUUUUGCAAGCCACAGACAAGGCAAAAUGAUGAUGGAAGUUAUACCAAACCUUGCUCUAAGUAACCCUCAGGUAAACAAGUCCUGUGGUAAAAUCACGGCAUGAUGGAUAAAGCAAACUCUUACUACUGUCCUCUAGAUAUCAUGAUGUGGAAGAGGAGCAGCUGGAUACCAGGGCUGCCACUUUUGAAGCUAAAUAGGUUUUGACAUGCUCGUUAAAGAAAAGCUACAGUAAGGCACUACAAAUUCACCAUGGUGCCCAUCCUGCUGUGACAUGCUCUGGAGCAAGCAGGCUCCUGCUCAGGUGCUGGCAAUAAACAGGCCAAGCCUGGGAAACCGGGACAUGGACACCCACAUCAGGUCCACAUUGGCCAUUCUGGCUUGGUCACUCAGCAUAGAUUUUUAAUGACUUCCUUGAUAAAAUCAGAGAGAAUAUGCAGUUAAACUUGUAGCACAGUGCUCUUCCAUGUAUAGGUUUUAUUUCUUACCAAAACAGCAUGGCUUUUACAUAUAUAUGCACAUAUAAAUAAAUAGAAUGCCAACAUAAAUAAAUACUUACACUUUUAAAUAUAUACACAUUAGGAGGACUUGCUAUUGCAACUGGCAGAUAUUUGUAAACAUGUAUAGGUCUUGUCCAACAGCCCUUUCUUACAAAAGAAGAUACAACAAAUGCAGAGACUUGGUAUAAGACAUUUAAGAAAAAGGAUUGUGUGAUUCUUUCAUAUAUAUGUCUAAAAGAAAGCCUGAAGAUCAGAGCUGAGUGAAGAUGAAUUGGAGAAGCGGUGAUAAAUAGUAAGUUAUUAGACAUAAUUUGGAAUAUUCAGAACUUCAAUUACAAAAUUUAAAGAAUCAUCCUGCUCUUCAAAUUCCUGAAAUAAUCCUGUUCCUUUUCAGAAUCCUUCAUGUUACAGGGCCUGGCUCAUUAAAAGCUGUGAUUUCAAGUUGUUCAGAG
Long non-coding RNA from Parus major (Great Tit), 1879 nucleotides. RefSeq lists it as uncharacterized. The record is from RefSeq and is a predicted model, not a curated record. The transcript has 5 exons. NCBI's taxonomy places the organism in Eukaryota, Metazoa, Chordata, Aves, Passeriformes, Paridae.